CAGCCGUAAACAAUGUGCGUUAGGUGUGUCGGUAACCACGUGUUACUGAUGCGCCGAAGAGAAAUCGUGAAACGCACCACCUGGGAAGUACGGUCGCAAGGCUGAAACUUAAAGGAAUUGGCGGGGGAGCACCACAACAGGUGGAGCCUGCGGUUUAAUUGGAUUCAACGCCGGACAUCUCACCGGAUAAGACAGCUGAAUGAUUGUCAAUCUGAAGGUUUUACAUGACUAGCUGAGAGGUGGUGCAUGGCGUCAGUGACU
This 261-nucleotide ribosomal RNA is filed under the name uncultured archaeon. RNAcentral describes it as "partial 16S ribosomal RNA". It matches the Rfam family "Archaeal small subunit ribosomal RNA", at positions 748 to 1008 of the family's 1478-position model. The record is from RNAcentral.